GUGAGAAUCACAGUGCAGUUCUCUGGCAUGGAUGCCAAUGUUAGCAGGCGUUGGACUACGUAGAUUGCUAUUGUCAUCCCUGCCAAAGGAGAAUUGCCCUGCCAUUCAGCA
This 111-nucleotide microRNA precursor is filed under the name Oryza glumipatula. RNAcentral's name for it is "mir-399 microRNA precursor family". It matches the Rfam family "mir-399 microRNA precursor family". Rfam says of the family: mir-399 was identified in both Arabidopsis thaliana and Oryza sativa computationally and was later experimentally verified. mir-399 is thought to target mRNAs coding for a phosphatase transporter. The mature sequence is excised from the 3' arm of the hairpin. Lineage: Eukaryota; Viridiplantae; Streptophyta; Magnoliopsida; Poales; Poaceae. The record is from Rfam by way of RNAcentral.